RNAcentral lists this ribosomal RNA (279 nucleotides) under uncultured soil bacterium. Its description in RNAcentral is "partial 16S ribosomal RNA". It matches the Rfam family "Bacterial small subunit ribosomal RNA", at positions 26 to 287 of the family's 1533-position model. The record is from RNAcentral.
AGAACGAACGCUGGCGGCGUGCCUAACACAUGCAAGUCGAGGGAGAAAAGGGGCUUCGGCUCCCCAGUAAACCGGCGCACGGGUGAGUAACACGUAGGUAACGUACCCUGGAGUCCGGGAUAACCAGUCGAAAGACUGGCUAAUACCGGAUACGACUGCGAAGUCUCCGGACUUUGUAGUGAAAGAUGGCCUCUAUUUAUAAGCUAUCACUCCUGGAUCGGCCUGCGCACCAUUAGCUAGUUGGUGAGGUAACGGCUCACCAAGGCUGAGAUGGUUAGC